AGAAAAGUCACGUUUUAGAGGAGUGUGUGGUCGGCUACGCUAGACUGUUUUGCUUCUAAACGUUCGUUAUCAACUUAAUUUCAAUAGUGAGCAGGACAUAUAUUCUAAUUCUAACUUACAUUCGUUUCGCAGUAAAGAACACCCACUAUAGAAAAGGUUGCGUUGACAAUUGACAGCGCAUAUCGUGAAAUUGGAUCUCAGCUGACAAGGACUGGAACUUGUGGACACACGUGAUCAAUUUAAAGCGUUUCAUCGUCAUUGUGGUGACACACAUCUCUGCGUACCUGGCAGAUAUCUCAGCUUGCAUGUCUGCCCACCACCUCAAGCUCAACCUCGAAACAAGACGGCGCUGCUCUUCCUCCUGUGGAAGGCUUCCCACUCCAGGACCUCUCCAUCACUGUGUCCCCCUCCCAGAACGCAAAGAACAUUGGCGUGACCCUGGACAACACCCUGUGGUUCUCUGCAAACAUCCAUUCUCUGCAAACAUCAAGGCAGUGACUCACUCCAGCAUGUUCAUGCUCUACAACAUCCAUAGAGUAUGACCCUACCUCAAACAGGAAGUGGCACAUGUCCUAAUCCAGGCACUUGUCUUCUCUCAUCUGGACUACUGUAACUUGCUGUUGGUUUGGCUCGCCGCUUGUGCCAUCAAACCCCUGCAACUCAUAAAGAAUGCUACAGCCCACCUGGUGUUCAGUCUUCCCAACUUCUCCCACAUCACCCCACUCCUCCGCACACUCAACUGGCUUCCAGUUGAAGCUCGCAUCCACUACAAGACCAUGGUACUUGAAGCAGCAAUUGGAACUGCCCCUCCAAACCUUCAGGUUAUGCUUCCUCCUGAAGCUAGGACAGCAGAGUCCCUCCCCAUCUUCUGAAAACAUCUGAAAACAUCUGAAACCUAACUUGUUCAAGAGUAUCUUGAAUAAUCCCAAAGAUCCCCCUCUCACACCCCUUCCUCACCCCGAUGCUGCAGCCCGGCCUCCUAGUGUUCAACCUUCCCAAGAUCGUACACUUUAAUGGCUUGCAGUCGAAGCUCGCAUCCACUACAAGACCAUGGUAAUUGCCUAUGGAGCAGCAAGAGGAACUGCCCCUCCCUACCUUCAGGCUAUGCUCAAACCCUACACUCCAACCGUAGCACUCUCUUCUGUCACCUCUGGUCUUUCUGCCCUCCCACACCUACGGAAGGACAGCUCCCGCUCAGCCCAGUAAAUUCUCUUCUCCAUCCUGGCACGCCAAUGUUGUAACCUGCUUCCUCCUGAAGCUAGGACAGCACUGCCCACAUUCCGAAAACAUCUGAAAUAAAUGUGAUCAAAAUGCCA
Molecule: long non-coding RNA, 1316 nt
Organism: Oncorhynchus kisutch (coho salmon)
Lineage: Eukaryota; Metazoa; Chordata; Actinopteri; Salmoniformes; Salmonidae
Exons: 2
Source: RefSeq, a predicted model, not a curated record